ACACUGGGGCAAAGCCACGAGCUGGAAAAUUCAACCUUUACAGCCCAGAGAAGCAUUUAUGAGCGUCUAUUCUAUGUGACUACAGCUCCACUAAGUGACACCAAACAAGAUUCCUGGAGGAAGGAAAACAGAGUGCAGCUGGCAGAGACUGAAGGAAGUGCUGCGGGCCUGGGGUGCCCAUCUGUUCACCUCGGAGCUUUGUAGACACUGCAGUCUUCUCGUCAUUGUUUACAUCUUUCUUCCUUUGUGCCAUUUUCAGACAGGUUGUGUCUCUUCCUCCAUUCAACACUGCUCUCUCAUGGAGGAUUUGACCAGCUACAUCACCUUUAUUUUAAAGCAGCUGCUGGUAGGAGUCGGAGAAGUUCCCUUGCAGAUUCUCCAAUUGCCAGCAGUGUUCAGGAAACCCCAGCCCAUGUGAACUCACCACUGCUCCUGCUUUUGCCACCUCGGCAGGGGAUGUGGAAGUCCCCAGGUGUGCUGCCUCCAAGCUCCAGAGACUGAUGUGAACAUCUGGUUUUCUGGAAACCAAGGUCAUGUCCUGUUUGACUUCAUGCUUCAUGUUUCAAAACUGAUGGAAUCACUGAUCCUAGAGGAGUCAUGUAGGACUGAGUUCUAAGUGUAAAGACAGUGGUUUUCCAACUCAAGUGUGCUUCCUGAGUAGGUGUGAAGUGAGCACUGGGCAUGUGCCUUUUAACCAGCUGGACUUGUAAUUCUCAUCCAAGUAUCUGGGGACCAAAAGCCUCUGCUUUUUAUUUGCCAGCACAGUUCUCCUAAAUGAUCAUUGGGCUGACCUAACUUGCAUCAGUGCUGACAAACAGGUGGAGUUAGGCUUUGACCAGCCAGGUUCUCAUUUGUAGCUGUGUGUCUUUGCCCCUCUCCUCUUGGCUGUAGAUGCAGAGGUCCUUGUAUUCUUUUUGACCCUGAAACUCUAGAAUAAAUGUAGGUACACUCAGGCAGCAUUCAUAUUUCAGGCUUAUUUUCUAAUUGUGAAAUAAAAGGCCUUGUUAGGUAUGGGAGUUACAAAGCAGAUGGGUAGAAUUUUCCAGAGGAAAGAACAACUAAGCUGCUAUUGACACCACAUCACUGAGAAGCGUCUCCCCUCUUUGACCUGAGCACUGGACCGAGGCAUUUGUCUUGCCGGGAGUACUCUUCAAACUCCUUCGAAAUAGCUUCAGUGGGUGCUGGGCAAAGCACUUUAAUUUCUGUUUUUUCCAUACAAGGGUGGGGCUGAGAAGAAGAGUGGGUGUGAAGGGAGGAAGCAAGUAGGCAAAACUGUGUGUCGAUAAGCAAGUUAGCCCCAAGUCCUGCCCGUCCUCCCUCCUGUCUCCCCUGAGAUUAUUAGAGAUGAAAAGAGACCUGAGAGACAUAGCAGUAAAAUGGCCACAGGUGGAUUUUGAUUCUGAUCUGAACAAACCAGCUGUAGCAAUUGGGGGAAAGUGGACAUGAAAUGGGUAUUAGGUAUUAUUAAGACAUUAUGAUAAAUUUUGUUGGGUAUGAUCAUAGCAUGGUGAUUUUGUUAAAACAAGUUCUUACAUGUUAGAGAUACAGAGGGAAGUACAUAUGGUGAAAUGAUAUGUUGUCUGUGAUUUGCUUCAAAAAAACUUCAGGAAAAAAAGGUGGAGAACAGUUAAAACAAGAACAGCCAAAUAUUGAUAAUAGUUGAAGCUGGGUGAUAGAUCCAUGGGAGCUCAUUUUAUUAUUCACUCUACUUUCAUACUUUUUUCCUACAAUAAAACGUUUUAAUAAUAAAAAAGGUUUUAGUGUAUAUGCAAAAAUAAAUUGUCGAAUGAGCAAAUACUAAGGAAGUAUCCUAUCUGUUUUGUUCUUCCUCUCUAGGACUACCUUUGUUCACUUCCCUUCUAGAAUAUUUCAUCAAAAUAGGCAUAGAAAAAGGACUGGCCUUCUUGCCAGUCCCCUUGCCUCUAGCCCCCUCCCUUCCAAUGCAUUGUGGUCUGAGUUACCCAACAGGCCAAUCCAGUCAUGUCGCUUUCCCUGCUCAAACAUCUUCCAUGGCUCCCUACUGUCUCCAGAAGAGAAGGCCAUUACUACGUUUUGACACACAUGACCUCUGUGAGCUGGUGCCUGGCUCCCUCACUUGCCUUCUCUCCUGCUUCUCUGCUGCCACAGUGGACUUCUUUUUAUGUCUGCUCACACGUCAGCUGUCUCCUGCCCCUAGCUCUGCUCUCUAUUCCCCCCCAUUCCUUCUUUGCCUGGCAAACUUCUACUCAUCCCUCAAGUCUCAUUCCUAACAUGAUGACCUAUGUGAGAAACAGCUUCCUCCCAAGUAGAUUUAGAUGCCCCUUUUUCUAUGCCUCUUGCUCACCCCUGCCCAGCCACGCUCUCUUUAGGAGUUCUGUUUCCUUCCUUGUGCUCUUCACCAUUGGUAAUUAUUCUGGUGUUUACUUGUCAUCUAUCUCCCCUGUAAGACUCUAUGCUCCAUGUAGACAGAAAUCAUACUGGAUGACUUCUAGGUAUGCUGGGCAUGUGGUGGGCACUCAGUAUUUGAUGUGUGAGUAAAUGAUCUUAUCAGAAUAACAAGCAGAUUGAUUAUAAUUGUUUAUACACCUGAUACUCCAUGAAAUGGUAUGUUCAUUAAGGACAGGACCCCACUUUUUAUCUUUGUAUCACCAAGCUUUUUAUCCAUUGCAUUUUCUGUACACUCAUCGAUGUCCAACUAAGGAAGGUUCUGUAAGACAAGUCUGCUUUUAAGUUGUCUUUUUUUAAAAGGGUAAAUAAAUUUGGUCUUUUUAUCUUGAAGUCAAAUUCCCCUAUAUUGAAGUCCUGUUAGAAGUGGAUGUAAUAAAGAAGUGGUAAAUUAAUGACUUCCUG
Molecule: long non-coding RNA, 2829 nt
Filed under: Homo sapiens (human)
Lineage: Eukaryota; Metazoa; Chordata; Mammalia; Primates; Hominidae
Description: non-protein coding lnc-ABCD3-9:2
Source: RNAcentral